RNAcentral lists this ribosomal RNA (280 nucleotides) under uncultured bacterium. RNAcentral describes it as "partial 16S ribosomal RNA". It matches the Rfam family "Bacterial small subunit ribosomal RNA", at positions 506 to 784 of the family's 1533-position model. The record is from RNAcentral.
UGCCAGCAGCCGCGGUAAUACGGAGGGGGUUAGCGUUGUUCGGAAUUAUUGGGCGUAAAGAGCUCGUAGGUGGCUCGGUAAGUCUGACGUGAAAUUUCAGGGCUCAACCCUGAAAAGCCGUUGGAUACUGCCGUAGCUAGAGUCCGGUAGAGGAGCGUGGAAUUUCCAGUGUAGCGGUGAAAUGCGCAGAUAUUGGAAGGAACACCAGCAGCGAAGGCGGCGCUCUGGGCCGGUACUGACACUGAGGAGCGAAAGCAUGGGGAGCAAACAGGAUUAGAUA